GACGAACGCUGGCGGCGUGCCUAAUACAUGCAAGUAGAACGCACAGUUUAUACCGUAGCUUGCUACACCAUAGACUGUGAGUUGCGAACGGGUGAGUAACGCGUAGGUAACCUGCCUGGUAGCGGGGGAUAACUAUUGGAAACGAUAGCUAAUACCGCAUAAUAUUAAUUAUUGCAUGAUAAUUAAUUGAAAGGUGCAAUUGCAUCACUACCAGAUGGACUUGCGUUGUAUUAGCUAGUAGGUGAGGUAACGGCUCACCUAGGCGACGAUACAUAGCCGACCUGAGAGGGUGAUCGGCCACACUGGGACUGAGACACGGCCCAGACUCCUACAGGAGGCAGCAGUAGGGAAUCUUCGGCAAUGGACGAAAGUCUGACCGAGCAACGCCGCGUGAGUGAAGAAGGUUUUCGGAUCGGAAAGCUCUGUUGUAAGAGAAGAACGGGUGUGAGAGUGGAAAGUUCACACUGUGACGGUAUCUUACCAGAAAGGGACGGCUAACUACGUG
This 505-nucleotide ribosomal RNA is filed under the name uncultured bacterium. RNAcentral describes it as "partial 16S ribosomal RNA". It matches the Rfam family "Bacterial small subunit ribosomal RNA", at positions 28 to 507 of the family's 1533-position model. The record is from RNAcentral.